CGGAAUUUUUAAAGAAGAGCGCRCAGUUGGRRAAAAACUUCCAUUUAGACACCGAUGUUUACGAAGCUGGCAAAUGAAACAGUGAAACGUUAAACUCACUACUUGCUAGUCCUUGGAAGAUGCGAAUUUUCAACGAAAGAGCGCUAAUGUUUUGAGCCAUCGCUUUUGAUACUAAUAUUUGCGAACCUGCCAAAAAUUGAGGCUCCCGGAGAUUSUCAUGAAACUUUCGCCRUAUAUAGAGUUAAGUGUAUUCUAACGAUGGGUAAAAUUUCAUAUUGCUGCUUGCAUUAGUUUGGGAGAUAUAAAUUUUUAAAAGGGGCGCGCAUUUUUUUAGAAUCCUUAAUUUUCAGAUCGACAUUUAAUAGGCUGGCAAUGUCAGAAUUGUAGGGUGAUUUCUAUGAAACUUUCCCCGUUUGUAGAGCCAAGAACCCGCUAAGCGUGGUGAAAUUUUAAGUUCCUACUCGCUUUUGUUGGGAAGAACAGAAUUUUUUGAAGCAGAGAGCGCAGUUGGGUAAAGCCAUCCAUUUGGAGACAGAUAUUUCAACUGUCAAAAAUCAGGACGCAAGAAGACUUUCGGCAUUUGUAGCGCCGAGUAUCUGCUAAACAGGCGUCUACGAACGGAUACUUUUCUGGAACAACGCUAGAUAUUUCACGAAAAUCGCCCUCAAACUAGAAUUUUUCCAGCGCAACUGAAGCAAACAGCUGGUUGACAUUGUCAUUGUUUUGAGGAAAAACUUUACCUUCAAUUUCGGGGAAGAA
Molecule: long non-coding RNA, 759 nt
Organism: Dendroctonus ponderosae (mountain pine beetle)
Lineage: Eukaryota; Metazoa; Arthropoda; Insecta; Coleoptera; Curculionidae
Exons: 3
Source: RefSeq, a predicted model, not a curated record